This is a non-coding RNA of Styela clava, 656 nucleotides long. NCBI's taxonomy places the organism in Eukaryota, Metazoa, Chordata, Ascidiacea, Stolidobranchia, Styelidae. The record is from RefSeq and is a predicted model, not a curated record.
GGAAGAAAUAGCAUUGAAAAAUCGCAAAAAUUACAGAAAAAUGUCCUGGGUUCAAAAUCCGAAAACUGCUUGAAUUGGUAUUCAACGCGACAUGACAUUGAAAGAAAUUCUGGUCCUUCACUACGAGACCGGGAUUUUUGUGGGAAUGGUUCUGUUUUCAAUUACAAUUGGAAUAUUGCUUGUGUGGAUAGUUCUGACCUGCAGGGAUGUAGCAAAUCUAUCUCUUGUCCUUCGCUUGUGGAGGUUACACCCUUUCAGUUGAAAAAUACCACCACACUUGGAACAUAUGAUAAAAUUUGUCAAAUGAGUCGUUUGGAUCGAACACAUCUCUUUAUUAAAAUGGAAAUAGAGACUGAAAAUGCUUUGCGUGAUAAGGAGCAAGAGAAAAAGUUGUUGUUGAAGAAAAUUAAGAACAAAAAAUCAAAAAAGAGGAAUUUUCUUCGUAAGAUUAGAAAAUUCCUGGUUCCGAAUUGCUGUCGUUCCGGUGAAUCUAAUAACUUACGUCGACUUGAGGAGAAACUUAUGGAUAUCCAAGAAAAACUUGAUUGUUUGCAUGAAUUGUUACCCCUAUAUAGGAUUUUCCUCAAAAAACUUGACGAGGAAAUUUACGAAGAGUGUGAUAACUACUUUAUAACUGUCCCUAUGGUUUUGUAAGA